UACGUAGGGGGCAAGCGUUGUCCGGAUUUAUUGGGCGUAAAGAGCGUGUAGGCGGCCAUGUAGGUCCGUUGUGAAAACUCGAGGCUCAACCUCGAGACGCCGAUGGAAACCAUGUGGCUAGAGUCCGGAAGAGGAGAGUGGAAUUCCUGGUGUAGCGGUGAAAUGCGCAGAUAUCAGGAAGAACACCAGUGGCGAAGGCGGCUCACUGGCCCGAUACUGACGCUGAGGUGCGAAAGCGUGGGGAGCAAACAGG
This 253-nucleotide ribosomal RNA is filed under the name uncultured bacterium. RNAcentral's name for it is "partial 16S ribosomal RNA". It matches the Rfam family "Bacterial small subunit ribosomal RNA", at positions 524 to 776 of the family's 1533-position model. The record is from RNAcentral.